AUACGUAGGUGGCAAGCGUUGUCCGGAUUUAUUGGGCGUAAAGGCGAGCGCAGGCGGAAAAAUAAGUCUAAUGUGAAAGCCCUCGGCUUAACCGAGGAACUGCAUCGGAAACUGUUUUUCUUGAGUGCAGAAGAGGAGAGUGGAACUCCAUGUGUAGCGGUGGAAUGCGUAGAUAUAUGGAAGAACACCAGUGGCGAAGGCGGCUCUCUGGUCUGCAACUGACGCUGAGGCUCGAAAGCAUGGGUAGC
RNAcentral lists this ribosomal RNA (248 nucleotides) under uncultured bacterium. RNAcentral describes it as "partial 16S ribosomal RNA". It matches the Rfam family "Bacterial small subunit ribosomal RNA", at positions 523 to 769 of the family's 1533-position model. The record is from RNAcentral.